This is a long non-coding RNA of Oncorhynchus keta (chum salmon), 1763 nucleotides long. RefSeq lists it as uncharacterized. The record is from RefSeq and is a predicted model, not a curated record. NCBI's taxonomy places the organism in Eukaryota, Metazoa, Chordata, Actinopteri, Salmoniformes, Salmonidae. The transcript is spliced from 3 exons.
GGAUACUGGAGUGAUGGAGGUAGAUAUGUAUAGGGGGAAGGGGACAGGGAUACUGGAGUGAUGGAGGUAGAUAUGUAUAGGGGGAAGGAGACAGGGAUACUGGAGUGAUGGAGGUAGAUAUGUAUAGAGGGAAGGAGACAGGGAUACUGGAGUGAUAGAGGUCGAUAUGAGAGGUGAUCCAUUCUGCUUUAAUGUCUACUCCAGCAUUAUAUUUAGGAUUACUUUCCUGCACUGGGCCCAAUGCACUACUAAAUUAAUUCAUUAAAGUGCAUUAUGUUGGUGGGCUGUAGUAUGCAUAUACAGGUCUGCAGAGGUGGCAAGUAGCCUAGUGGUUAGAGUGUAGAGGAGGCAAGUAGCCUAGUGGUUAGAGUGUAGAGGAGGCAGCGUAGCCUAGUGGUUAGAGUGUAGAGGUGGCAUGUUGCCUAGUGGUUAGAGUGUAGAGGCGGCAUGUAGCCUAGUGGUUAGAGUGUAGAGGAGGCAGCGUAGCCUAGUGGUUAGAGUGUAGAGGUGGCAAGUAGCCUAGUGGUUAGAGUGUAGAGGAGGCAGCGUAGCCUAGUGGUUAGAGUGUAGAGGUGGCAAGUAGCCUAGUGGUUAGAGUGUAGAGGAGGCAGCGUAGCCUAGUGGUUAGAGUGUAGAGGUGGCAAGUAGCCUAGUGGUUAGAGUGUAGAGGAGGCAGCGUAGCCUAGUGGUUAGAGUGUAGAGGUGGCAUGUUGCCUAGUGGUUAGAGUGUAGAGGCGGCAUGUAGCCUAGUGGUUAGAGUGUAGAGGCGGCAGGGUAGCCUAGUGGUUAGAGUGUAGAGGUGGCAAGUAGCCUAGUGGUUAGAGUGUAGAGGUGGCAUGUUGCCUAGUGGUUAGAGUGUAGAGGUGGCAUGUUGCCUAGUGGUUAGAGUGUAGAGGUGGCAGGGUAGCCUAGUGGUUAGAGUGUAGAGGCGGCAGGGUAGCCUAGUGGUUGGAGUGUAGAGGUGGCAAGUAGCCUAGUGGUUAGAGUGUAGAGGUGGCAUGUUGCCUAGUGGUUAGAGUGUAGAGGCGGCAUGUAGCCUAGUGGUUAGAGUGUAGAGGCGGCAUGUAGCCUAGUGAUUAGAGUGUAGAGGUGGCAUGUUGCCUAGUGGUUAGAGUGUAGAGGAGGUAGGUAGCCCAGUGGUUAGAGUGUAGAGGCAGCAGGGUAGCCUAGUGGUUAGAGUGUAGAGGCGGCAUGUAGCCUAGUGGUUAGAGUGUAGAGGCGGCAUGUAGCCUAGUGGUUAGAGUGUAGAGGCGGCAAGUAGCCUAGUGGUUAGAGUGUAGAGGCGGCAGCGUAGCCUAGUGGUUAGAGUGUAGAGGCGGCAGCGUAGCCUAGUGGUUAGAGUGUAGAGGCGGCAGCGUAGCCUAGUGGUUAGAGUGUAGAGGCGGCAGCGUAGCCUAGUGGUUAGAGUGUAGAGGCGGCAGCGUAGCCUAGUGGUUAGAGUGUAGAGGCGGCAGCGUAGCCUAGUGGUUAGAGUGUAGAGUUGGCAGGUAGUCUAGUGGUUAGAGUGUAGAGGUGGCAGGUAGUCUAGUGGUUAGAGUGUAGAGGAGGCAGGUAGCCUAGUGGUUAGAGUGUAGAGGUGGCAAGUAGCCUAGUGGUUAGAGUGUAGAGGUGGCAUGUUGCCUAGUGGUUAGAGUGUAGAGGUGGCAAGUAGCCUAGUGGUUAGAGUGUAGAGGCGGCAAGUAGCCUAGUGGUUAGAGUGUAGAGGUGGCAAGUAUUCUAGUGGUUAGAGUGUAGAGGUGGCAAGUAGCCUAGUGGUUAGAGUG